AUCAACUUUCGAUGGUAGGAUAGAGGCCUACCAUGGUGGUAACGGGUAACGGGGUGUUAGGGCACGACACCGGAGAGGGAGCCUGAGAAACGGCUACCACAUCCAAGGAUGGCAGCAGGCGCGCAAAUUACCCAAUCCCGACACGGGGAGGUAGUGACAAUAAAUAACAAUACGGGGUUCUUUCGGAUCUCGUAAUUGGAAUGAGUACAAUUUAAAUCUCUUAACGAGGAACAAUUGGAGGGCAAGUCUGGUGCCAGCAGCCGCGGUAAUUCCAGCUCCAAUAGCGUAUAUUAAAGUUGUUGCAGUUAAAAAGCUCGUAGUUGAAUUUCGGGGUUAGUAGGUUGGUCAUGCCUCUGGUAUGUACUGAUCUCACUGAUUCCCCUUCCUUAUGAACCGUAAUGCCAUUAAUUUGGUGUUGCGGGGAAUUUGGACUGUUACUUUGAAAAAAUUAGAGUGUUUAAAGCAGGCUAACGCUUGAAUACAUUAGCAUGGAAUAAUGAAAUAGGACGUUCGAUCUUAUUUUGUUGGUUUCUAGGAUUGACGUAAUGAUUAAUAGGGAUAGUUGGGGGCAUUAGUAUUCAAUUGUCAGAGGUGAAAUUCUUGGAUUUAUUGAAGACUAACUACUGCGAAAGCAUUUGCCAAGGAUGUUUUCAUUAAUCAAGAACGAAAGUUAGGGGAUCGAAGACGAUCAGAUACCGUCGUGUCUUAACCAUACUAUGCCGACUAGGGAUCGGAUGAGUUAAUUUUUUAAUGACUCAUUCGGCGCCUUACGGGAAACCAAAGUGUUUGGGUUC
This 794-nucleotide ribosomal RNA is filed under the name uncultured fungus. RNAcentral's name for it is "SSU rRNA". It matches the Rfam family "Eukaryotic small subunit ribosomal RNA", at positions 314 to 1114 of the family's 1831-position model. The record is from RNAcentral. Lineage: Eukaryota; Fungi.